Molecule: long non-coding RNA, 814 nt
Filed under: Anas platyrhynchos platyrhynchos (common mallard)
Lineage: Eukaryota; Metazoa; Chordata; Aves; Anseriformes; Anatidae
Description: lncRNA (ENSAPLG00000022534.1)
Source: RNAcentral
GUAGGGUUUGCCUGCUGGAGGGGAGUGCAGGGGCAUAUGGAACACAGUGCCACAGUUUCUCCUGCCCAUAUGUGCUUAUGCACCAGGUGCAGCUGGGGGACAAACUGCAGAGCUAUUGGUCAAGAGUAUGUGGAUGGGAGCCCUGAGGGAAGGGAAGGGAAGGUAGCAGCACUACUCUGUGAGACAUAUCAUUGCAGUAGAGUAUGGAGCUAAAACAGAAGGUGAAAGAAAUCCAUAUGGGAGCCUUGGUGUUGUAGGGAGUUACAGACUAGACAAGCAGUAUCAGAGAAAGGCCCAAUUCUUUGAAUCCCAACAGAAUGAGAAUCUACAGCUUUCACCAUAUCAACAGAACAAAACAGGAGUGGGAGACAGCUAUGCCCAGCUGUCUGCUCUGUACACAUCCUACCACCAAGCACCACACACAGAUAUUGGCAGGGACCUGCAAAGAGAUCAUAAACUGAUUCCAGAUACAACUCUAAGAUGUCUCUAUUCAUGCUCCAGAGCUUCCCAGAAAUCUACACACUUCUCAGUGGUUUCUAACCAUUACUAAUUAUCCCAUAAGUAUCUAAUAGUCCUUUCCCAACUGUUCAGUAAGUUUGUGUCAUGAUACGGAUUGAUGUCCCUUUGCUUUGUUUUCUUAUUUCACACAGUCAAUCUGAAAAAUGCUGGAUUAUGGAUAAAACUUCUAUUUACACAUAGCAAUGCUACAUCUGUUAUGGAAUCUGUUUUGUUUCCAAAACAGAGCAUUCAGUAGAAAUAUUUCUACAGACUAUACCAGUUAUUUUUGCAUGUGAUACAUGAGAACGCUCACAAG